Molecule: long non-coding RNA, 280 nt
Organism: Oncorhynchus keta (chum salmon)
Lineage: Eukaryota; Metazoa; Chordata; Actinopteri; Salmoniformes; Salmonidae
Exons: 2
Source: RefSeq, a predicted model, not a curated record
CUUUGCUCCCCACACACCGAGAGCUACAGGAGCCCCAGUAAUGCCCCCCUGUGUGGCCUGCGGAGCGAACGGCGCACCAUGUCUCUGGUGGUCCACUACACCCCUUGAGAACCUCCUUUACUGGGCUGGGGGAACCACACUCUUGAGCCAUCUAGGGAACUUUGCCUUGGAUUCUACAAGGCAGAGGCGAGCCGAAGUUCGGAGUCGAAGUCUACGCCCCAUCGUCGGUGAUUGGUCAACAGAAGGGAUUCUUCAAUAAAGUCUUUGUCAUUCAACGAUA